UAAUUAGCGGCAAAUACGAUAUAUUCUUAUGUGGAAUUGAAUAUAGUUGAUUUGCUUAUUUUGAAGAAAAUAUUGGGAUACGUAAAUGUAUCCCUUUCCCUUUUCUACUUAAUUUGCUUAUCAUACUAUUUCUUUUUUGCGUAAGAAUGUAUUUGCUUGAUUGUAAAGCUUCUUAGAGGAACGAUGUGUGUCUAACACAAGGAAGUUUAAGGCAACAACAGGUCUGUGAUGUCCUUAGAUGAACUAGGCUGCACGCGUGCUACACUGAUAUGUAUAACGAGUUUUAUAAAAUUACGUUUCUGCUUGCAGAUUCGUACUUUUCCUCCACUGAAAAGUGUAGGUAAUCUUUAUCAAUA
This 356-nucleotide ribosomal RNA is filed under the name Plasmodium inui. Its description in RNAcentral is "SSU rRNA". It matches the Rfam family "Eukaryotic small subunit ribosomal RNA", at positions 1352 to 1560 of the family's 1831-position model. The record is from RNAcentral. Lineage: Eukaryota; Apicomplexa; Aconoidasida; Haemosporida; Plasmodiidae.